GGCGAUAUAUAAAUUCAUCAGUCUGAUUUUAUUCACCGUUAAUGGGCAUUUAAAUAACUGCUAUGUGUAAUUGCAGCCUAUUUAUACGACUUUUAUUGCCUUUUAAUUGCUGAUGUUGUAGUCCUUAUUGGGAAGUCCGAGGCGGAACUACAUCGUCUGCUUGAUAUAACAGCUAAUUUUGGUUCAAAGUGUAAUCUAAAAUUUAACCAAAACAAAUCCAUGGUUAUGAUAAUAGACAAGCGUUUAGAUAAAGAUAAGAAGUGACAAUUAGGUAACCUGCUCCUGGAGGAAGCCAAUGAAUACAAAUAUCUCGGUGUUUAUUUAACCCGUUCAUUGACUUUUGCCUAUCAUAUAAAUUGUUACUUAAAAG
RNAcentral lists this long non-coding RNA (370 nucleotides) under Mytilus galloprovincialis (Mediterranean mussel). The record is from RNAcentral. Lineage: Eukaryota; Metazoa; Mollusca; Bivalvia; Mytilida; Mytilidae.